UAGCCGUAAACGAUACUCGCUAGGUGUCGGCCACGGUGCGACCGUUGUCGGUGCCGUAGGGAAGCCGUGAAGCGAGCCACCUGGGAAGUACGGUCGCAAGGCUGAAACUUAAAGGAAUUGGCGGGGGAGCACUACAACGGGUGGAGCCUGCGGUUUAAUCGGACUCAACGCCGGGAAUCUCACCGGAUAAGACAGCUGAAUGAUAGUCGGGAUGAAGACUCUACUUGACUAGCUGAGAGGUGGUGCAUGGCGUAGUCGUGU
Molecule: ribosomal RNA, 261 nt
Filed under: uncultured archaeon
Lineage: Archaea
Description: partial 16S ribosomal RNA
Rfam family: Archaeal small subunit ribosomal RNA
Source: RNAcentral